Long non-coding RNA from Ornithodoros turicata, 793 nucleotides. RefSeq lists it as uncharacterized. NCBI's taxonomy places the organism in Eukaryota, Metazoa, Arthropoda, Arachnida, Ixodida, Argasidae. The record is from RefSeq and is a predicted model, not a curated record. The transcript is spliced from 2 exons.
CCUGUUAACUCACUCUGGCGUCCUUGUGAGUCAAGCGUAUGACAUCAGAACACAUUGCUCAUGUUUAUCUCGCAAAGAGUUGUCAAAUUAUCAAGACAGACUUUCCGUUGCGCCGUGUGAUGCUCCACUGACCAAGUUAGUGAUCUUCGGCCAGCUAUAUAACAUCAUCUGACUUGCGAAUACGAAGCACAUACGAACCUUGAGCGGGAACCGGGCCGAGGAAUCAUGGCUCGACUGCUUCAUCCGAGCGCCUUCCUGGCUUGCCUCCUUGCAUACUUGAUCGCCCCAGCAUCCAGUCAGCGGUUGAAUCUUCAGGACACGCUUCGUGGUUUGUUUUCGAAGCCUGGUGGUAACCCAGACAACGACGUGAUCGGUGGAAGAGCGAAAGUUCACGACGACCACCUGCCAGAUAUCGUGCCUCGUAACCAUAUGCCGUCGUCGUCGAGGGGUAUGCUGCCGGCUCAUCUGAGUGCAUACCCCAGGAGCAACACGUAUCCUCGUAACCUUCCCUUUGGAUAUUACAACUACGGGUACCCUCUCGGAAUGCCGGUUUAUUUGGAUGCUCCACAACUUGUUUACAGACGGGAACAAAACCACAGAGGUUUUCGGGAACAUCAUUAUUCGGACGCCAUGAACAGAGCUCCUCAUUCGACGAGCAUACCACCCAAAGGACGUUUAAGUGGAGAGGAUCGGGUUAUUGAAGCAUUGGAUUUGUUCAAGACGCUGAGGACCAUCGCAAGUGCUUAAAUAUACGGACCACGGGGUUUAAAUAAAUUUGUACGUAAUAAAUGCA